UGCCAACCUUCUUUAAGCGUUAAGUCCACAGCACCCAACGAUUGGAACAGUUUGGCAGCCGGCUGAUUGCUUUCCAGGACACAGAAAUUUAGCCUCGUGCAGUUCUCAAUUAAGGCUGCCUUUAAAGCACAGGCGAAGCAGACGACUGGUGACGUAGUGGCGCGUGGUUUAAACACAUCCAAGCAACGAAUCGCUACAGCAGCCAAUAGUCAUUACAAUCAUGGCGGCAGCACAAAUUUGUUUCACUCCUUUUCAACAGUGAUUUGGUCUUCUUCUAUAGUUGACUGAUACAAAGACGAGCAUGGGAAUUUUGUGAAAUGACGGUCGUACGGCUCCAGCGAUCGACAAAAAUGCGGUAGCCACAACCAGUUUCGCAUAACAGGUGGCAACAUGGAUGGGCAAUACCUUUGGAAAAUGUUGAUGAUUACAACAGAAAUCAAAAUGAAUAAGAACGGAAUACCGACGCACUGUAGUGUGACAGUUCCAGCAAUGGAGAGACCCAAAACAGUGGCUGGUAAAAUGAGAAACAUGAUUAUAAGAGCAAACAUGGCAAACCAUCGAUAUUUGGCAGUCACGUCGCCCAAGAACUUGGCCAUCGGAAUGGGUAAACGCAUGAACGGAAUGGGAUAGAAAAGUAAAAUCCCCGUCACGUUGAAGAACAGAUGGACAAAUGCUAUUUGCAUUGUGUCGUGCAGAGCGUCCGGUGAAGCUGUUAGCGCUGCAAGAAGAGCAGUUGCAGUCGAGCCAAUGCUGGAUCCCAAAGUCAGUGGAUAAACUCGUUCUAUUGAAACGAAACCCAUGCCGAUGAGAGGAUCGAGUGCCGAGGUGAAAACCAGGCUGGAACGAAGCAGGAAAGUCAUUCCGGCUCCGACAAAAAGCGCUAUAUAGCCCGUUAGCCAAGGAACGUAAGGGAUAUUGCCAUUGAUCACGUGCCUGAUGACGUUGGCAAAGUGUCCUUUACAUUUCAAUUGUUACCGAAACUGUCCUGAUUUAGGAAUGCAAAUUUGAACAUUUACCUUUCAUCAUUGAGUGAAGAAUUUUCACAAGACAAAUCAGAGUGCCACAGAGAGCGACGAGCGAAAUAAACAAGAUUAACAAACCGAUGGCCCAGUCUUCCAUUCCUGUAUUUUCAAAAAUGAAAACUCCAUCUGAAAGUGAAUAGUUGCUGUUAUUCAACGAUAUUCGCACUGCAAAAAACUGUGCAACAAACACUUGCCACAUGGGAUAGGUUCGCUGAUAUUGCCAUCACACCGUCGUAUGAGUGAAGAAUUUUCAUACUGGACGUCAUCAUUUGCCCAGCCUUUAAGAACUUCUGGAUCCAGCUGUAAUGAAUCAAUCAUCAAUAGAAACAAUACUUAAUCGUUUAAAAUUGAUUUUAUUUUCGAAGAAUCACCUGUAUAAUAAGAUCAACAAAAGGAUCCGUCAUUUCCUUCAAGAGUGAAAUUUCAUAUUUCCAGGUGGACGAACUAUUGACAUGUCGUACUGCGAUGCCACUUAGCCACUCCAAAUAUCCGACACCAAAUAGAGGAUCUUAACAACCAGCCAUGAAGUAGAAGAAAUUCCAUCGUGGUGAAUUCGAAGAAAGAACUUACGGCAAAAGAUUUCGACGGCGAAUAGAACCAGCAUCGUUAUCCAUUUGAAAAUAUCGUGAACCAUGGCUCCAGCGAAUGCCCGCCGGAAUUCGUUUUUGUUCCCGAUUUCGGCAAACGAAACGAUCGUAUUGGGAACGCAAGUGCCCACAUUAGCUCCCAUAAUGAUUGGAAUCGCUAUAGCAACUGUCAAAACUGGAUAAAGAAACAAAUGUUCUAGCAACAAUUUCCAUCUAGAACAGAACAUCUUCUGUCGUACCGUUAGCUCCGACCAUGCUUACUAUAAUGGAAGACGAUGUGGAAGAACUCUGGACAAGAACCGUAACUAAAAUGCCAAUCAUCAAUCCGACGACAGGAUUUUGGAUCAAUCGACUCUGCUGAAAAAUUGUACCUUUGAAAGGAAAUCGGUCAAGACACUGAUUGAAAACAGUUGAAAUGAAUAAACUCACCAGCAGUUCUUCCGGAUGUCAGCCGGAAUGCGCUAGCCAACAAAUCCAGCGAACAAAUCAGGAAAUAUAAGAAACCAGCAGCAGAAAGUAUUUUGGUCGUAUUGCUUAGAAUUCGAGUUCCUUUGGCUUUUGUGCUCAUGUCUAUUCAAAAAAGGGACGUUAUUCUUCUUCGUAAAAUGAAUGGGCAAAAUCUAAAAUGACGUACCUGCCCAUUUCUCCGAAUUGUCCACUAAAUCCACUAUCGCCCAAGGAUCUUCGUCUGGCGGUGUCAUUGACGUGACGGUCCUUAAAGUGCCGUAGGACGCAUUAAAACACUGUCUCCUUUCACAAUUGCUUUCACCAUCGAAUUUAAUCAUUUCAUUAACAAACGUUGGCCUUUUUUUUUAAAAGCUUUUUAAAUAUUGCAACUUCCAUACGAAGCACUUCUCUUGCACAUACGAAAUUGCUACGUCCAAAAAAUGAAAAACGUUCAAUUCGUAAGCUCGACACUCAACUGUGGAUGAACUCGAAAUGUUUGUCUGCAUACUGUCAGCAUAGAGGGAAUCCUCCUCCCAGCAUUUUGUUUGAGUUAGCACAGUACUAACAAGAACCUUCUGUGAUUAUUUUAGCAUUUCCUUUGUCUACUUAUCUAGUAUUAGGCUAUCUAAUUUGUAGAUGUCAGUCAGCUGAAAAAACGUAGUCCAUUUUAAACCCUCGCACAUUUUGUCUUCACUGCACAGCAACACAAUUUGGAAUGUCGUUUGUUCGCUAUUGAUUGCCAAAUUUUAAUUAAACCAAUGGGUUCUUACUAAACUCUAAAUUUAGCAGGUCAACCAGUGACACUUGAUUGAUAACGUUUUCUUUCCCUGUUUGACUGUUAGAAAAGUGGAUUGGCAUAGAAGUGGGGAUUUUAUAAAACUAAUUUGAAUGAAAACUUAUGUGUUUGCCAAUGGGUAAGACUUACGACAUUUUCAUGCAGCCAUUUGUUAUUUCACUCGACGCAGCUGAUCGGCAAACGGAGGGAUGACAUUGCGUGCGCUUGUUUAGUGAGGGCCAAACUGUGAUAGAAUGUGGUGCCAUCCAAGUCGUUUGCAACUCGAAACCCUUUCGUUUUUUUUAGUCCAAACGUCUCUCACUUGUACAUUCGAUAUUUUCAAUCCCUUGGGCUCAUACGCUAGUCUUACGUUCAAUGCUAAAAAAGUCCAUCCGCCAACUAUGUUCAGACAGGAGCUGGUAACUAUAAUUACAUAAAUUCGAAUCACCAUUCCUUGAAUUUGUAUUGUCCCGUUAGCUCUAUCACUAGUGUACCUCAUUUUUGCUUUGGUUCUUCAAACUACCUUGAGAUUUUUUACAAUUGAGCUGUUAGAGCCGACGUCAAGCCUUCGUUCAACUGUCAAUUAUUUUCAGCUUAAUUUCCAUUCAUUCUCAUAUUCUUUAGGCUUAACAAUUUCCAGAGGGAAUUGUUUCCUUGCUAAUGUAAAAACAAUUCAUAACGAUUGCUCAUUGUGGACUGAUCUUACAAUCGCCAUCUAGUCGUUGAACUUAAUUUAGACUACACACAAGAUAAGGUCCUAUCUGAAAAACAGUGAAAGAAUUUUUAAAUGCUCUUAACAUUUAACAGAGAAAUUGUGCAUUCUUUGCCAAGGCUACCGAUGGAUUAUUCUUUCUUUAAUUUUAAGAAAUGCAUCACCAAUUCUUCCUUGGUAGUUCGACUCCUUUCGCUUCGCUACUGUUCAAACGACUAGACGUCUCCAUCGCUGUAAUCGCUAAAAGGUAAGUGUGAAAUCGCUAUCUUGACUCCAACAGUGUCAUUAUUGUGUAUGUUGCGAUAGAAUUUCUUGAAUUAAAAACGCAUUUGUUGUAUUAUGUCCAUAAAAAGAAGAAAACAAGGCAUUGAAGUAUGGAGGCAUUACGUCAUGAUUGUACCAUCAGUCUCCGUCAUGGUUUUCAUUUAAGGAAUUGAUUCGUUUGAAAGAGGAGUUGAGGAGAUUUCCGUUGUAACAUUAACUGUUUUUUCUUGUUCAUCCUGGCUAAAUCUAUUGCAGCAUGAUAAUUUGGAGAGCUGACGGUCGUACGGCUCCAACGAUCGACAAAAUUCAGGCAACCACAUCCAGUUUCGCAACACUGGCGGCAACAAAGAUGGACUUUUCUUCUGUAAAAUGUUGAUAACGACAGCUGCUACAACUAUUAAUAGGAAAGGAAUACCGACGCAUUGUAGUGUGACAGUUCCAGCAAUAGAAAGACCUAAAACUGUGGCGGGUAAAACGAAAAACAUGCCGACAAGAGAAACGAUUGCGAACCAUCGAUACUUGGCAGUCACGUCGCCCAAGAACUUGGCCAUCGGAAUAGGAAAACGCAUGAACGGAAUGGGAUAGAAAAGUAAAAUUCCCGACACGUUGAACAAUAAAUGAACAAGCGCAAUUUGCAACGUAUCGUGCAGAGCGUCUGGUGAAGCUGCGAAAGCUGCAAGAAGGGCCGUUGUGGUCGUGCCUACAUUCGAUCCUAAAGUCAAUGGAUAAACUCGUUCGAUGGAAAUGAAACCGAUGCCGAUGAGCGGAUUGAGAGCUGAAGUAAAAACUGAACUGGAACGCACGAUGAAUGUCAUCCCAGCUCCGACGAGAAGAGCGAUGUAACCCGUUAGCCAAGGAAAAUAAGUUCCAGCGAGAAAAAAGAGAUUUACCUUUCAUCAUUGAGUUGAGGAUUUUUACCAGGCAAAUCAUGCUGCCACAGAGAACGAAUAAUGAAAUAGAUAAAAGAAUCAAUCCAAUGGACCAGUCCUUCAAUGUUGUAUUUUCAAAAAUAAAAAUCCCCUCUAUAAA
Molecule: long non-coding RNA, 4836 nt
Organism: Daphnia magna
Lineage: Eukaryota; Metazoa; Arthropoda; Branchiopoda; Diplostraca; Daphniidae
Exons: 5
Source: RefSeq, a predicted model, not a curated record